GGGUUUAAAGGGUGCACAGGCGGGGGAAUAAGUCGGUGGUGAAAACUUGCAGCUCAACUGUAAGCUUGCCAUCGAAACUGUUUUUCUUGAGUAUGGAUAAGGUAGGCGGAAUUUGUGGUGUAGCGGUGAAAUGCAUAGAUAUCACGAGGAACUCCGAUUGCGCAGGCAGCUUACUGGGCCAUAACUGACGCUCAAGCACGAAGGCGUGGGUAUCGAACAGGAUUAGAUACCCUGGUAGUCCACGCAGUAAACGAUGAUUACUCGCUGUUUGCGAUAUACGGUAAGCGGCCAAGCGAAAGCGUUAAGUAAUCCACCUGGGGAGUACGUUCGCAAGAAUGAAACUCAAAGGAAUUGACGGGGGCCCGCACAAGCGGAGGAACAUGUGGUUUAAUUCGAUGAUACGCGAGGAACCUUACCCGGGCUUGAAAUGCAUCUGACGUACCCGGAAACGGGUAUUUCCUUCAAAGGACAGAUGUGUAGGUGCUGCAUGGUUGUCGUCAGCUCGUGCCGUGAGGUGUCGGCUUAAGUGCCAUAACGAGCGCAACCCUCACCGUUAGUUACCAUCGGGUUAAGCCGGGGACUCUAACGGGACUGCCAUCGUAAGAUGUGAGGAAGGUGGGGAUGACGUCAAAUCAGCACGGCCCUUACGUCCGGGGCGACACACGUGUUACAAUGGGAGGUACAAAGGGCAGCGGCAUGGCAACAUGUAGCCAAUCUCGAAAACCUCUCUCAGUUCGGAUCGAAGUCUGCAACUCGACUUCGUGAAGCUGGAUUCGCUAGUAAUCGCGCAUCAGCCACGGCGCGGUGAAUACGUUCCCGGGCCUUGUACACACCGCCCGUCAAGCCAUGGAAGCCGGGGGUACCUGAAGUUCGUAACCGAAAAGGAGCGACCUAGGGUAAAACCGGUGACUGGGGCUAAGUCGUAACAAGGUAGCCG
Molecule: ribosomal RNA, 937 nt
Filed under: uncultured bacterium
Lineage: Bacteria
Description: bacterial SSU rRNA
Rfam family: Bacterial small subunit ribosomal RNA
Source: RNAcentral